AGUGAACGCUGGCGGUAGGCCUAACACAUGCAAGUCGAACGGCAGCACAGUAGAGCUUGCUCUUCCGGGUGGCGAGUGGCGGACGGGUGAGGAAUACAUCGGAAUCUACUUUUUCGUGGGGGAUAACGUAGGGAAACUUACGCUAAUACCGCAUACGACCUACGGGUGAAAGCAGGGGAUCUUCGGACCUUGCGCGAUUGAAUGAGCCGAUGUCGGAUUAGCUAGUUGGCGGGGUAAAGGCCCACCAAGGCGACGAUCCGUAGCUGGUCUGAGAGGAUGAUCAGCCACACUGGAACUGAGACACGGUCCAGACUCCUACGGGAGGCAGCAGUGGGGAAUAUUGGACAAUGGGCGUAAGCCUGAUCCAGCCAUACCGCGUGGGUGAAGAAGGCCUUCGGGUUGUAAAGCCCUUUUGUUGGGAAAGAAAAGCAGCAGGUUAAUACCCCGCUGUUCUGACGGUACCCAAAGAAUAAGCACCGGCUAACUUCGUG
This 491-nucleotide ribosomal RNA is filed under the name uncultured bacterium. Its description in RNAcentral is "partial 16S ribosomal RNA". It matches the Rfam family "Bacterial small subunit ribosomal RNA", at positions 29 to 507 of the family's 1533-position model. The record is from RNAcentral.